CCCUUAGAUGUUCUGGGCCGCACGCGUGCUACACUGAGUAAUUCAAUGGGUAGGGAACGCUAGAGCAUUACCUAAUCUUGAAAUUUGCUCGUGAUGGGGAUCGACGGUUGCAAUUUUCCGUCGUGAACGAGGAAUACCUUGUAGGCGCAUGUCAUCAUCAUGCGUCGAAUACGUCCCUGCCCUUUGUACACACCGCCCGUCGCUCCUACCGAUUGAGUGAUCCGGUGAGGCUCUGGGACCUGGACAGAAAGAGCGUUUCGCUUGUUCUGUUUGGGAAACUUGGUCGAACCUUAUCAUUUAGAGGAAGGAGAAGUCGUAACA
This 321-nucleotide ribosomal RNA is filed under the name uncultured eukaryote. RNAcentral describes it as "partial 18S ribosomal RNA". It matches the Rfam family "Eukaryotic small subunit ribosomal RNA", at positions 1470 to 1796 of the family's 1831-position model. The record is from RNAcentral.